GAACCGGAUUAGAUACCCGGGUAGUCCCAGCUGUAAACGAUGCUCGUUAGGUGUCAGGAACGGUGCGACUGUUUCUGGUGCCGAAGGGAAGCCGUGAAACGAGCCACCUGGGAAGUACGGCCGCAAGGCUGAAACUUAAAGGAAUUGGCGGGGGAGCACUACAACGGGUGGAGCCUGCGGUUUAAUUGGACUCAACGCCGGAAAACUCACCGGGGGCGACAGCAAUAUGUAGGUCAGGUUAAAGGUCUUACCUGAAUCGCUGAGAGGAGGUGCAUGGCCGUCGUCAGUUCGUACUGUGAAGCAUCCUGUUAAGUCAGGCAACGAGCAAGACCCGUGCCCACUGUUACCAGCAUAUCCUUUAUGGAUGAUGGGGACUCUGUGGGGACCGCUGCUGCUAAAGCAGAGGAAGGUGCGGGCUACGGUAGGUCAGUAUGCCCCGAAUCUCCCGGGCUACACGCGGGCUACAAUGGUUGGGACAAUGGGUAUCUACUCCGAAGGGAGUUGGCAAUCUCUUAAACCCAAUCGUAGUUCGAAUUGAGGGCUGUAACUCGCCCUCUAUGAAGCUGGAAUCCGUAGUAAUCGCGUUUCAACAUAGCGCGGUGAAU
RNAcentral lists this ribosomal RNA (605 nucleotides) under uncultured archaeon. Its description in RNAcentral is "bacterial SSU rRNA". It matches the Rfam family "Archaeal small subunit ribosomal RNA", at positions 721 to 1323 of the family's 1478-position model. The record is from RNAcentral.